This 253-nucleotide ribosomal RNA is filed under the name uncultured bacterium. RNAcentral describes it as "partial 16S ribosomal RNA". It matches the Rfam family "Bacterial small subunit ribosomal RNA", at positions 524 to 776 of the family's 1533-position model. The record is from RNAcentral.
UACGGGGGUGGCAAGCGUUGUUCGGAAUUACUGGGCGUAAAGGGCGCGUAGGCGGCUUGGAAAGUCAGAUGUGAAAGCCCCGGGCUUAACUCGGGAAUUGCAUCUGAAACUUCCUUGCUUGAGUUCUGGAGGGGGUAGUGGAAUUCCCAGUGUAGCGGUGAAAUGCGUAGAUAUUGGGAGGAACACCAGCGGCGAAGGCGGCUACCUGGACAGUGACUGACGCUGAUGCGCGAAAGCUAGGGGAGCAAACGGG